This 303-nucleotide ribosomal RNA is filed under the name uncultured bacterium. RNAcentral's name for it is "partial 16S ribosomal RNA". It matches the Rfam family "Bacterial small subunit ribosomal RNA", at positions 507 to 807 of the family's 1533-position model. The record is from RNAcentral.
AGCAGCCGCCGCGGUAAAACGUAGGUGGCAAGCGUUGUCCGGAAUUAUUGGGCGUAAAGGGCUCGCAGGCGGUCUCUUAAGUCUGAUGUGAAAGCCCCCGGCUCAACCGGGGAGGGUCAUUGGAAACUGGGAAACUUGAGUGCAGAAGAGGAGAGUGGAAUUCCACGUGUAGCGGUGAAAUGCGUAGAGAUGUGGAGGAACACCAGUGGCGAAGGCGACUCUCUGGUCUGUAACUGACGCUGAGGAGCGAAAGCGUGGGGAGCGAACAGGAUUAGAGACCCCCGUAGUCCCUGUCUCUUAUAC